Molecule: ribosomal RNA, 492 nt
Filed under: uncultured bacterium
Lineage: Bacteria
Description: partial 16S ribosomal RNA
Rfam family: Bacterial small subunit ribosomal RNA
Source: RNAcentral
AGUGAACGCUGGCGGUAGGCCUAACACAUGCAAGUCGAACGGCAGCACAGUAAGAGCUUGCUCUUACGGGUGGCGAGUGGCGGACGGGUGAGGAAUACAUCGGAAUCUACUUUUUCGUGGGGGAUAACGUAGGGAAACUUACGCUAAUACCGCAUACGACCUACGGGUGAAAGCAGGGGAUCUUCGGACCUUGCGCGAUUGCAUGAGCCGAUGUCGGAUUAGCUAGUUGGCGGGGUAAAGGCCCACCAAGGCGACGAUCCGUAGCUGGCCUGAGAGGAUGAUCAGCCACACUGGAACUGAGACACGGUCCAGACUCCUACGGGAGGCAGCAGUGGGGAAUAUUGGACAAUGGGCGCAAGCCUGAUCCAGCCAUACCGCGUGGGUGAAGAAGGCCUUCGGGUUGUAAAGCCCUUUUGUUGGGAAAGAAAAGCAGCAGGUUAAUACCCCGCUGUUCUGACGGUACCCAAAGAAUAAGCACCGGCUAACUUCGUG